GGGUCGAUAGUGCAGUGGUUAGCACUCUGGGUCACAUUCGCAAGGUCGUUGGUUCAAGUCCAACAGGAGACA
Molecule: non-coding RNA, 72 nt
Organism: Gigaspora rosea
Lineage: Eukaryota; Fungi; Glomeromycota; Glomeromycetes; Diversisporales; Gigasporaceae
Source: the annotation of a GenBank genome assembly